ACAAGUAAUAUAAUGACCAAAAUAGAAACUGAAAUGAAUUUUCUUUCUAAAGUAAUAUUUAAUACAAAUAUUAUUCUCCAUGCUCCAUGCGAACAAAAGGAUUCCUUUUUCUUCAAAGCAUUUGACAUAAAUCCAUUAGCUUUUCCUUGGAAACGAUAUAUGCCAUUUACACUUGUACGGGCUACAUCUAAAACUCCAUCUUUUUGCAAUAAUUCAGUAAUCAUUUGAAACUUUUAAUUCUUAUGAUAAAUUAACUUCCAUAAAUGCCACUUAAAUCCAUUAAUGGAUUAACAUUUUUUUUUUCUGACCAAAAAAGCAUCAGUAAUGCAUAAGGAAUACAAUUGCCCCCCACAAAGAGUGGCAUCUGAGUUGCCGCCUGCUCAAGAUAGUUAUAUAAUUUCAAGACCAGCACGAUAAAUCUAUGGUACAAAUAAAAUAAUUACUAAUUAUGAACACCAAGAGGACUUCAACAAUAUUUAGCUUCCAGACAACACAGAACACGAGGAAAAGGGCAUUUAGAUACCUAAAUAAUGUCAUCCCAAACUUAAGUAUAAAAACUUUUACUAAGAGAUGCAAUAAUAGAUAUGAAUUUUAACAGAAAGGAAUUAUAAAGAAAGCAUGCUAGGGAACAAGUACCAUGUCAGAUAAUAAAGUAUAAAGAAAGUAUGCUAGAGUACAAGUACCCGGUCAGAUACAUGGACAUAUAACACUUUUAUAAAUAAGCAAGUUAAGCAAAGUGAAAAUAACAUGGCAACACUUUAGACAGCCACCAGAAAGUUACAAGUUUCUGCAACUGUUGAGAAACCUUUACUGUUUAAGGAAUUCAAAAGGAAGUCUACCAUGGUAAAAGUACGGUGACCAAUAAUCGCACACGACAUUUUCAAAUAUAUACAUAUAUGUGUGUGUGCGCGCAUUUGUGUGUGUGGCAGCACUUUUGACAGAGCUCAUGCCUGCCAUUGCAUGCCAAAUCACCAUAAAAUGGCACUUUUGACAAUUUUUGUUAGCUAAAAGAAUGGUAACAAUAAAAAAUUUACAAAAAAAUUGGUACUGAUAAUAAUAGAGAAAAAGUACAGCACUUAAACACUUAAAGCAUUACUUCACUAGUUUACCAUGAUCAAGCAAGAGCACAAUGACUGCUGAUGAAAAAAAGUCAAAAUCCACUAAUAGCAAUAAAAAUUCAAAUUUUUCAACAGAGCAUAGGAGCUCAUAUAAUCACUGCUUCAUAGACAGUGCUCUCAACACAAACAGAAUUUGUUUGCAGUCCCACCUCCUAGUUAGUAGGUGGUCCCAAUCAUUGUCACCCCUAAAAAGAAAAUGGAAACCAUCAAGUAGGAUGAACAAGACCACAACAACUAAGCUGUUUUCUCUCUCUACAAUCCAACAUUCAAUGAUCAAAAUUAACCAUGCAUGUAUUCUAUUUGAUAUAUCCCCUUCUUUACCUCAAAACAAUAUAACUACACAGUUUUAAUUUACUUUGUAAGAAGCAGCAGCUGGCAUGCUUGUUAAGAAACUAAAAAAGGAAUCCCAAAUAAAAUGGUAACCCCCUGUCCAUGUGCAUUUUGUUCAAACUGAAAUUUGCUGUUGAAAUACCAAUGAGUUUUAGCUAAGUGGUACUGUAGUUAUCUCUAGGGUUGUGUGAUCUCAAGUUUGAGUCCCAGUUGGAGCCAUUUGUACCCAAACAAAAAAAUUUCCAUUGAAAUAAUAACAAACAAAUUAACUCAAGCCAGUAUUUAAAUACCAAAGAACAUAGUCUAAGGUUUAUGUUGCAAUAUAAUUUGCCCAGUAAAAUGUCAUUUGAUGGACCAUCAUGUUAAGAUACAAAUUUUCAUGCCCACCAAUGAAAAACACUCAACUCCCCAUGAACUGAACAAUUUUCUAAUGAAAUAAAAUGAAAUUGGUUCCAAACACCCUAAAAAAUGUACAUCCAUUCCUAACAUUUGUUCGUCAUGGAUUAUGAUUAUAUUUGAUGAUGAACCCUUUGUCCAUAAUAUUAUAGAUUUAUGAGUGUUAUAUUUAUUUUGCAAUUUCUAUUGUUAAUUAUAAAUUACAAUUAGACAUUGUUCAAAUAAAUUUACACAAUAAAAAAUUAAAUAAGUAAACAAUCAAUGAAUAUAUUAAAAAUUAUAAUUUAACAAUAAUAAAAAAAAUCUCAUAGUCUUCAAGAUAUUAACAAGUCUUUUGCUAAUAGACGACAUUAAUCAUAUCAAUGAAGUUUAAGUAGCAACAAAGAACAUCAACUAAACUAAACUAAGCCUUUAUCCCAAGAACACACACUCUCUCUCUCUAAUGGAAAUAUAUACAGUGACCAGUGGUUGAAAUAUAUUCUAAUGGAACCAAGGUCUAGGACAACAUGCCUAACUAGGAAACCUGCCAAUGUCAUGGAUAUAGUCCAUUUGAUCUUGGUUUCAUUACUAAUUAUGCAAAUCAUCCCUUGAUGUGUGCGUGUGU
Molecule: unclassified non-coding RNA, 2448 nt
Filed under: Hevea brasiliensis (rubber tree)
Lineage: Eukaryota; Viridiplantae; Streptophyta; Magnoliopsida; Malpighiales; Euphorbiaceae
Source: RNAcentral